UACGUAGGGUGCGAGCGUUAAUCGGAAUUACUGGGCGUAAAGCGUGCGCAGGCGGUCUUGUAAGACAGGUGUGAAAUCCCCGGGCUUAACCUGGGAACUGCACUUGUGACUGCAAGGCUGGAGUACGGCAGAGGGGGAUGGAAUUCCGCGUGUAGCAGUGAAAUGCGUAGAUAUGCGGAGGAACACCGAUGGCGAAGGCAGCCCCCUGGGUCAAGAUUGACGCUCAUGCACGAAAGCGUGGGGAGCAAACAGG
RNAcentral lists this ribosomal RNA (253 nucleotides) under uncultured bacterium. Its description in RNAcentral is "partial 16S ribosomal RNA". It matches the Rfam family "Bacterial small subunit ribosomal RNA", at positions 524 to 776 of the family's 1533-position model. The record is from RNAcentral.